RNAcentral lists this ribosomal RNA (122 nucleotides) under Actinomycetales bacterium TLI130. Its description in RNAcentral is "partial 16S ribosomal RNA". It matches the Rfam family "Bacterial small subunit ribosomal RNA", at positions 162 to 283 of the family's 1533-position model. Lineage: Bacteria; Bacillati; Actinomycetota; Actinomycetes; Actinomycetales. The record is from RNAcentral.
UCUAAUACCGGAUAUGACUCCUCAUCGCAUGGKGGGGGGUGRAAAGCUUUAUKGKGGUUUUGGAUGGRCUCGCGGCCUAUCAGCUUGUUGGUGAGGUAAYGGCUUACCAAGGCGACGACGGG